Long non-coding RNA from Oreochromis aureus, 1749 nucleotides. RefSeq lists it as uncharacterized. The transcript has 7 exons. NCBI's taxonomy places the organism in Eukaryota, Metazoa, Chordata, Actinopteri, Cichliformes, Cichlidae. The record is from RefSeq and is a predicted model, not a curated record.
UGGAAGACUCCAGAAUCCACUCUGGCUGGAAUCCGGUGGAUACAGCAGUGUUACAGAACAGUUCUCCACAGUCGCUGUCUACAUGGGUCAGUGGGACCAAGCAGCACUCUGCUAAUGUGUGGACUCUGACCAGCAACAUCCAGCAAGACCCAGGCAGCGUUUUCUAUCUCCCAGCUGGAGUUUUUUUGUUUGUCUGUGACUGGAGAGUCAGAUUUUUGUUGAGCCUCACACUUGCAGAGUCUUUUUGCAGGAUCAGAAAACAAAACCAGGAGGCCUGUAAAUGUUUCUUCUCCAAUUGGAUGAUGAUAAGACUGUGACACGGGAUGCCACCUUUAGUCUUGUGAUGAAGCAAAGCUCAGGAAGAAGUGUGAUUAAAUGGUACCCACAUGUGUGCUGCUGAGAAGGAUGUACAGGGGCACCUGCAGCCAAAUCCAAGCCUCCUCAGCAACUUCAAGUCUGUCAACGUGCUGAGGUCACAGAAACAAGAAAAGCAGCUUCAGACUUCAGAGUGUUGUUUACAGUUUUCUGUCAUCAUGAUCUCCCCCGAAGUUUAUCACUAUUAGGCAAGCAAGCAGAGCGGCAGUUUGUGCUCACAGAUGGUGACGGUGUGGAGAGACGGUGGUGUUUCCUCAGAAGAACCAGCAGAGUCACAAAGGGCACCAGUCCUUCUCACCACCUUGACUUGCAGACUGAUGCUCGUCUGCACUGCACAGAGGAAAUCAACUGACCGAGGUUUGUCCAGUGCAGUGUUAUGAAAUGUGUAUUUGUUUUAUGCUUACAGAUAUGUUUUUCUUGACAGAGGCUCUGCAGAGGUUAGACAAAGAAAAUAUGUGCUUUACAUUUCACUGUGAUUUACUGGGAUAUUUGUUGCCUGAUGUUCAGCAGGAAUGGAGAAAUGGAAUCAAAGGGAGAUAUUUUUGAUGUUUUUGUAAUGAUGUAAGUAAAUCUCCAGUUUCUGAGUGAGGGAGAGAGAAGUCAUCAUCCAGGUAAAGUGACGUGGAUCAGUGGAUACACUUGUCUCUCCUUUAAAGAAGAUACUGUUAGAGAGAGACGAUCCGAGUCAUCCUUAAAUAUGGGCAGGAUAUCAGUCUUGGACUGUCUAACCUGCCGGAGCAGCACUGAAUGAUCACCACACAUGAGCAUGUUCCUGCAACAUUCAGCAGCUUUGCUUUUGCUGGAGAGGAAACUACACCAGUGUACUGGGAUGUUUCACCAACACGUGCCAGACGCUGUUCCUUCAUGGUUUCAUCACCAGAGACAGCCCCGCCCACCUCAGGACCUCGCCAUUGAUCAUGAUGAUUAUAAUAAUGACAGCGAGCGGAACUAAGACUGUAAAAAUCCACGACCAGAAUGUUUAGAUGCUUUCUAAUUAUUCAUGAAUACUGAGAGCUUCUUUCUGUGUUUUGUCUGGUUUGUUUUUUUUUACCUCAUUUGUUACUAACAAAGUUCACCAAACUCACUCAGUUUACAUUCUGUAUGUUUCCAUCUUUACCAGCCACACUCUUAACUGCAAUUAAGCAAAUAAUCCUUAGAAAUCAUCGUUUUUCUCUUUUGUAAUUGAUGAUAAUUCGGUGAAUAUACUGCGCUGCUUCCUUUUGUUUCGUCACACAUUGCUUUAAGUUUUUCAGUGUUCAGUUAUUUUUUACUGUUGUUUGAAUUCUCUGCAUGUUUGACCCUGUAGACUGUUUGAUGGACUGCUUGUCUUCCUGUUUGUAACCGCCGCCUGUUUUUGACUAAAGAUUUGGAUUU